This 466-nucleotide ribosomal RNA is filed under the name uncultured bacterium. RNAcentral describes it as "partial 16S ribosomal RNA". It matches the Rfam family "Bacterial small subunit ribosomal RNA", at positions 28 to 507 of the family's 1533-position model. The record is from RNAcentral.
GAUGAACGCUGGCGGCGUGCUUAACACAUGCAAGUCGAACGAUGAAGCCCAGCUUGCUGGGUGGAUUAGUGGCGAACGGGUGAGUAACACGUGAGUAACCUGCCCUUAACUCUGGGAUAAGCCUGGGAAACAGGGUCUAAUACCGGAUAGGAGCGCCUACCGCAUGGUGGGUGUUGGAAAGAUUUAUCGGUUUUGGAUGGACUCGCGGCCUAUCAGCUUGUUGGUGAGGUAAUGGCUCACCAAGGCGACGACGGGUAGCCGGCCUGAGAGGGUGACCGGCCACACUGGGACUGAGACACGGCCCAGACUCCUACGGGAGGCAGCAGUGGGGAAUAUUGCACAAUGGGCGAAAGCCUGAUGCAGCGACGCCGCGUGAGGGAUGACGGCCUUCGGGUUGUAAACCUCUUUCAGUAGGGAAGAAGCGAAAGUGACGGUACCUGCAGAAGAAGCACCGGCUAACUACGUG